CCUACGGGUGGCAGCAGUGAGGAAUAUUGGUCAAUGGACGAGAGUCUGAACCAGCCAAGUAGCGUGAAGGAUGACUGCCCUAUGGGUUGUAAACUUCUUUUAUAUGGGAAUAAAACGUUCCACGUGUGGGAUUUUGUAUGUACCAUAUGAAUAAGGAUCGGCUAACUCCGUGCCAGCAGCCGCGGUAAUACGGAGGAUCCGAGCGUUAUCCGGAUUUAUUGGGUUUAAAGGGAGCGUAGGUGGAUUGUUAAGUCAGUUGUGAAAGUUUGCGGCUCAACCGUAAAAUUGCAGUUGAAACUGGCAGUCUUGAGUACAGUAGAGGUGGGCGGGAUUCGUGGUGUAGCGGUGAAAUGCUUAGAUAUCACGAAGAACUCCGAUUGCGAAGGCAGUUCACUGGACUGCAACUGACACUGAGGCUCGAAAGUGUGGGUAUCAAACAGGAUUAGAUACCCCAGUAGUC
Molecule: ribosomal RNA, 460 nt
Filed under: uncultured bacterium
Lineage: Bacteria
Description: partial 16S ribosomal RNA
Rfam family: Bacterial small subunit ribosomal RNA
Source: RNAcentral